This is a long non-coding RNA of Agelaius phoeniceus (red-winged blackbird), 495 nucleotides long. RefSeq lists it as uncharacterized. Lineage: Eukaryota; Metazoa; Chordata; Aves; Passeriformes; Icteridae. The record is from RefSeq and is a predicted model, not a curated record.
GGUGCCUAUAAGCAACCUCAAGGGAAUAUUCAAGAAUCCUUGGUGUGUUUAGAGAUUUAUUGCAGGAAGGCUGUAUGAUGUUCUUUCUCUGGUACUGACUUGUCAGUGCAAGACUAUCAAGAUCACAGCCAGGAGUCUUCCUGUUUCCAGCUCUGAUGCCGACUCCUGCAGUGUUCCACAGCAACCUGGAGCAGCAGCGACAGGGAUUGUCCAGCUCAGCACCUCAGCACAGAAAAACUCUUAAGGGACUGUAGCUGUCAAAUUGUGGUGAGGCACUGCUGGGCAUGAGCAAAGAGUGGUUCUCAUAAAAGGCUUAUCAUUGUGGCAGUUCAUCAGGGAGAUUACAAAAGGCUCAUCCCUGACACAGGGGUUAUUUUGCUGCCAAAUUUGAGACACUCACCCACAUAAGAAAUACAUAAGAGAAUCUCAAAUAAAUAAUUUUAGUAUUUUAAGCAGGUCACAAUAAUUCAAAAUAAAUGCAUUGAAAAGAAGGCA